This 273-nucleotide long non-coding RNA is filed under the name Ictidomys tridecemlineatus (thirteen-lined ground squirrel). RNAcentral describes it as "lncRNA (ENSSTOG00000031865.1)". The record is from RNAcentral. Lineage: Eukaryota; Metazoa; Chordata; Mammalia; Rodentia; Sciuridae.
AACAUUUCCCAUUAAUCUUGAGUGCGGACAAGUGCGAUGUUUCGGGGUGGGGGUAAAUGCGAAGGGGUCGAAAAAUGGCCUUGCCGGCUCCCUCUCCUUCACACAGGCUGCCUUGGAGGCUCUUCCCCAGAGAGCUGUUUCUACGAGCAACAACUGGGAGAGCUUGCUAAUUGAAGUUGAAGCAUUCCACGUCCUCCAGAAAACACUCAAACUAAUGAGGUAACAAAGGCCCAGAGGACAAAAAUUAAGCAAAUCAAAGUUUAUUCUUGAAAU